GCGGGAAUACAAUAAAUAACUUGAAUGUAAAUAAAAGUAAUUAAAGAACUCAGGAAUUAUGAAUUGAAGAACCUGGAGAACGAUGAAGAACGAACCAGAUGCUGCAAAAGUAUAAUGUUGAGGAAGAUCCGACAGAUCCGGCUCCUCCUCCGCUCUCCUCUUCUCUCUCCCUAUUUUCUAGAUUACAACUAGAACUAACUAGAACUAGAACUAGAGGAACUAGAACUAGAACUAGAUGAACUAGAACUAGAUCUAGAUGAAGUAGAGGUAGAACUAGAAGAACUAGAGGGAUCCUCUCUACUUGGAUGAAGAAUUGAAACCCUAGCUUUGAUUCUGUAGAAGAGGUAUGAUCUCCAGGGGCCAGGGGGUCUGGUUUUAUAGUCCCUUCAAGUGAAUCUGGGCCGUCGGAUUAAACCGACAUUGAUCGCACGGUUUUCCUUGGUCCCUUAGGUCGGUGGAGCACGAUCCGUGAAGUUGAAGCUGAUUGGUUACUGUAGCUGGGCGGGCGCCUUGCCCCCGGGCCCGAUCGGCCUCCCGUUCGUUCCCAUGGCUUCUGGAGUCUUCUAAAUGGUAGAAAAUUGUGUGGUACGUUAAUAUCUCUAUGUAAACCCGACGUGUGGGCCUUUCUUUCGUAUUUCCUGAUAACCCCCUGUAGAAAUAGACAAACACCAAAACUUGUGGAAUUCUGUCAGAUAAAACCCUAAGUCUAGGUGUUGGUUGCAUUUGGAUCUUUUUUAUGAUUAGUUGAUGGUUAAAUAUGAGCAUUAAGGACCAUCAACAAGCUCCCCCAAGCUUAACCUUUGCUCGUCCCUGAGCAAAGAUGAUCUCAAGAGUUUCUGCAGUGGUUUCAUAACUUAAAGAUACACAUGCGUUUAAACAAGAUCUUAUCUCUGCUUAGAGUAAAAUGUUAAGACUUAAAACUUACUCAUUUACCUUUCACCAUGGGACUUGUAACCGUCACUUCUGUCUUGAGUAGUUAAAAGAUAGAACAGUCUAGUCAAGCGCCAUGUCUCUUGUUCUUCGAUUAACUAUAGCUCUGAAGUUUUUUCAGAUUUUCAAAUUAAACUCAGAGAUUCCUUGUAUGACUCUCUCUAGUCUCUCUUAUGUGGUAUUUCUGGAUCCUUACCACGGCAGUAAUGGUAUAUGCCUUCUCUCAAAGUAUGUGGUAUUUGUGGUAUAAGGCAUAGUGGCAUUGCCUUCUCUCUCACCCUACUCUAAUAAGGUUUUGAUAUCUGGAGCUCAUAGGUGGGAGACAGCUAAUACAUACUUACAAGACAUUUAUUGCAUAGUCAAACCAUGGAUCCAGAAGAACAAGUCAAUAAGUCAAAUCAAGAUGUGCAUGUGUGGCGAAUAAAUGAUGUAUGGUGAUGAUGGUGAUAACGAUGGUGAAAGUCUAAUUCUACUUAUGCUCUUUUGAGGGGAUACAUACCUUUCUUGCUCUUUUGAAACUUUUUGAGGACAAUGAGAUGCUCUAUAUUUUCUUUUUCUUUCCUCUCAUGUGGGUAUCUUGUACCCCUAAUUCUACUGUCGGACACUUGUCCAUUUUUACCUCUCGUCUCACUUUUUUCUUUUCUUUUUUUUCUUUUCUUUCGAGGUUCCGGGCACUUGCCCCUUUUUAUUUCCUCGUAUUUAUUUUAUAUAUAUUUUUUUCUCUCUUUUUUUUAUAUUAGAGCACUCAUCUCCUGAAAUAAUAUAGCAAGUGGUAGUAACCAAGAUAACUUGAGCAUUUAUUUCACAGGGGAAAAACAGAAAUGUUUUUGGCUAUUCUCUCCCGGAUUAGGAGUAGAAUAUUUUUGGGUGGUUCUGGAGAUGGAAAUGGGUGGAUAUAUGUGGAUGCGUACUUCCGGAGUAGAAGCAGCAUGUGUGAGUGAACGUGCAAGUGAAUCUUGACUUAACCACAUGACAAGCUCCUAAGGGUCUACACAGCUUAACCACACUCAAUGCUCAUAAGUAGUAAAAAGUAAAUGCGUGGCUCAAAAUCUAGCAAGCAUGUAUAUAUGGCUGUGGUAGGAUUUUAAACUCUCAUCAUACAGGAACUCAUCAUGCAACAUUUUAAAGAUUUUCAAAGAUAAAAUUCUCCAGAUUUGUAGCAUCUCUAGGAACAGAUAAACAGCAGCUCAAACUUCCCAUAUCAUAUCCGUUAACGACUUAGACUUCAGAUCAAGUACUAUUCCCACAAGUUCAGGUUUAGAGCAAAUCUUAAUUAAUAACAGUCAUGCCUAAACUUGAGAGAGAUUUCAAUUUUGAGAACUAGUCAUGGCAGAGCAACUAUUCAUCAUUUCCAUGUGAGAGCUUAUCAUGAGGGUUCAUAGCAAACUUUAUUUAUUUAUUUAUCAAACUAAUCAAAGAUAUAUAUAUAUAAGCAUAUUAGAGUAAAGUAUAAACGUGAGUAGAAUACUUAGCUGGAUAAAUGGGGUUGCUCUCCCCCAAGCUGGAUUUUGACGUAAUUCCAUUUGAUGUAGCAGGUGGCAGAGGUGUACUUGAAUGUCGACAGCACCCUGACAGUGAUUAGGAUGUCCUCCGUCUGCUAGUCUUCUUUGAUCCUUGAAUUCUGUGGAGCUCAAAUAGACAACAAAGCUUUGUGGAACUGGUUAAGUGUUAGCAUAAAUAUCUAGCCUUUAUCAUGUUGAGCCUCCUCAAUAAAUGUUACUCUCUUUAGUAGGAUCAUAAAUUUAUUUUUAUAAUUUUAUUUUUAUAGGACAGGAAUAUAUUUAUUUUGUUUUUACGCCACCAUAGUGAAUGUACUUAUGGGUUUUAUGCCAUGAGCAUACUCACAUGGGGCUUACAAUUUUUAACAUUUUUAUUUUCUUUUUGAGAUGAUAUGAAACUGAUUAACUAAGCAAACUAUUUUAAAUAAUUGAGGAAAAAGAUAACUACCAAGUUUACCUCUUGGCAAGGCGUUCGGUGUUUUUAAGUCUUCCGAACGGGACUCUCCAUUCUCUCAGUCGUCCUGGGAUUCGCUGGAUUGCGUAGUCGGUGGUUCCGGCGGCGCCUGCUCUUCGUGUAUAGUUAUCUUCUCUCUACACACCUGACUCGGUGCUACGGUCUCCUGAGGACAGUUCUGUUCAAGCUUUAUAUCUUCAGACCUUACAACUUCUCCAUCAUAGUCUACCCAUCCGUCCUUGAUAAUUUUGCCUUCUCUGGUUGCGGUUGCGUCGUCUUCUUCUUGUCCUGACCUGCUUAGAGUCUUCAACUAUAUGGUUAGGGUCAGUAAAAUAGCGGCGUACCUUCUCAGAGGGGAAGUGCAUGUGGACUUCUCCGGUUCCAAUGUAGAUGAUUGCUUUAACGGUGUUGAGGAACGGUCUUCCAAGGAUGACGGAUUGUACUCGUCUUCUCCCAUGACAAUAACCUUCAAAUCAUCUGGAGCUGAAUGUAUUUUGGUUGUAGGGGCAUGGUUCUAAACAGGAGCUGAUAGGUGACUGCGGCCAUUGACAUCAGAUCUGGUGUCGUAGAGUGUCUUAUGAAAAGAAUAUCCGUUGAUUGUGCACUCGAUGCUUGGAACACCAGGGUCGUCCUUCUUGAACAAGAAAGGCGACUUGAGUUGACGAUCUUGACCUCCUUGAGCUGCAGUGACCAUCUUAGCUGACUCGGUACACAUUUGCUUGUUCUUGUUCCUCCUGUUGGUCCUCUUCCUUGGUUCAUGUCGGGAUUGCUCUGAGAUUUGUGUAGUCUUGUUCUUGAAGAAAAACGUCUCCUUCCUCCCCUUGAUGUAGAAACUGAUCUCGGCAGCACUAACGUAGAUGACACCUCCCGAGGUGUUUAGGAAUCGCCUCCCUAGAAUGAUGGGUAUAAUAUUGACGUUGGAGCCAAAGUCGCAGAGUGCUUCUAGGAAGUCCACCAUGCCGAUGGAGAUCGGGAUGACGGGACGUCCUGAAUUGUAUCUCUUGACCGGCAGAAGGUCAGUAAUUACUUCCACAACGGGGUUACUCCAGUAGUUAUGUCCUCAAGCAUCUCAGGGCAGUGAUUGCCUGAGUGUCCAGUCUCUCCAGUGUGUUUGUGCUCGUAGAUCUAGGUUCUUCACUUGGUGGAGUCUGGGAGUUGUAAAAGUCCUUCAUAUGCUGCUCGAAGUGUACCUGCUCAUAGAGACAGGGCAGAGAUCAAGUGCAUGGGCCCUGUUGGUGGAAAACACCAACAGAACCAAAAGUGUAUUUGUUCUUCUCUAACCUUAAGCAUAGUGAGCAAGACAAAGUUGAUGGAUAAUAAGAUCAUGAGUAUAACAUUUAAAACAUUUGUCAGAUCAAAUCGCUCAACCUAAUGGAAAGAUAAUCUAUCUAUAUUUAUGUUUUGUUUAUAUCUUCCAAAGAUUGAGUGUGCAACAUUUUAGCUAAUAUGAUUAGGAGUGUGGAAUCACAAAGGUGGAAGGACUAAACAUGUUGAAUCGAUUGGGUUGGUUAAUCUAGAGUUGUAGAUCAUACAUGUUUGUCUCUUUUAUUCAUGUGAACGCCAGAACCAAGGAGAAGCUUAUAGAAGUGAUAGUCAAGUACCUUAAGAUGUUACCUUACUUGAAGAGUGAUGGUACAGUAUCACCUUAUGGAAGCUUUCCUUUCUUAGUGGUUGUGCAUCGUGUUUGUGGCACCCUCCAUGGAUCAUCUCUUGUGAGCUAUGCCUUGUGUAAAUUGUUAAACUUCAUGUGCCUCUCUCUUUGUCUCCAAUGUGAGUUUAUCUCAGGACUUCCCAGGUCGAUAUUGAAAGUUUUCCUGUAGGGGUUAGUCCAACAAAAUAUACCAAUGUCUACACAAGCAGUUUUUAGUUCAAUAACCAAACUAGACUCCAUGUCUAAGUAGAUUAAGGAAGGCUAUUUAACCUAAGCACCAUGCUUAAUUUAAAAACCAAUAGAAGUAUGUACAGUACUUCCAAACUAACACUUACUAGGAUAAACAAAGGUAGCGUGAUGGCUUUUAUAGAGAUCUACUCAAGUGGAGAUGAAGUAGUGUGAUUACUAUUUAACAAAUUGAGCAUGUCUCAAAGGUAGGGACAACCAACAUAGCAACAUGGCAAAUGAUGUUUUUAUAUAAAGUACUCCCCCAAGCUUGAAUUUUGCAAAAUUCAAGUUUGGAUGAAUUUAAUUCAAUGUUGUAUGAUGAUUGGUUGUACAUACCUUGUGCUUGUCAUUCAUCCGAACUUCUUGCUCCAAUCCUAGAAAGGUUAGUGACAAGAAUACCCGAAGGAAUUUUUUUAAAAAUUAUCCUUAUAUGCUUAAUACACAAGGUAAUGUUGCAAAUAAUUAAAAGCUCAUGUUACGAUCUGAUCAGUGCUUAUUUUAGGACAAUAAGCUUGUCCUUGGGAAACCAUCAAUUUAUGUCGGCGAAGUGGUUUCCCCUCCAACGCUGACCUAUAUCAAGAUCAACUCAACGAGAUCUGCAAUAUUUAAUAAAGACAUAUGCAUCGACAACCGCCCUUUUAAAGUUUUUAUAAAUAGAAAGGAUGAGGGGGUUGGAGAUCUCGAAUGUGGUGAUGUUGGAGAGACCAAUGGAUUGUGAAGAUGUUGCAUAUGAGCAUGGAGUAAAUGAAGUGGCUAUGAAAUAAAUUCCAUGCUCAUUAAUGCUUAGAGUGAAAUCGAUGUGGUACGGUGAAAAUGAUAAGGUGAGUGUGGUAAAAAAGGAAAAGAAAAAGGAUACACGGACAACUUGGUUCGAAACUAGCACAGCUACCGUUCCCCGGCAACGGCGCCAGAAAGCUUGUUGGGUAUUUUAAACGCAAACAGAAAAAUCCGCAAGCGCACGGAUACCGAUGUAGCCUUCACCCGGGAGUAUUCCAGAGUAUCGAUUUUCCACAGGGAACGUGAGUGUACUAAUUAAGAUCCAAGAUCGCCCAAGGAUAACUAUAUGAAUAUUUUUGGUGGGAAGAGAGGAAGUUUCCUGAGAGUUCUCUAGUUGAUCUAAGAAUCAAGAAUUACUUCAAGAUUGUCUAUAUAGGGACAUCAGAGCACUAACCACAGAAAGAGAUGAUAAGGGGGCUAGGAAGGUCUGACUACGGUCCUACAAACACCGAUCCGAACGUGGUGGAAUACGUCGACCGUUAGGGCUGUCACUACCCUAAGGCUACCACAACAAUCCACAGGAUUGGGUGCAAUUCCAGGUAAUCGCAAGACUAAACACCACGUCUAAUCUAUUAAUUACUACUCUAGCGUUAUAAAGACUAGAGCACUUGAUGCAAGCAGGAAUCCAAUAAAUAACUUGAAUGUAAAUAAAAGUAAUUAAAGAACUCAGGAAUUAUGAAUUGAAGAACCUGGAGAACGAUGAAGAACGAACCAGAUGCUGCAAAAGUAUAAUGUUGAGGAAGAUCCGACACAUCCGGCUCCUCCUCCGCUCUCCUCUUCUCUCUCCCUAUUUUCUAGAUUACAACUAGAACUAACUAGAACUAGAACUAGAGGAACUAGAACUAGAACUAGAUGAACUAGAACUAGAUCUAGUUGAACUAGAGGUAGAACUAGAAGAACUAGAGGGAUCCUCUCUACUUGGAUGAAGAAUUGAAACCCUAGCUUUGAUUCUGUAGAAGAGGUAUGAUCUCCAGGGGCCAGGGGGUCUGGUUUUAUAGUCCCUUCAAGUGAAUCUGGGCCGUCGGAUUAAACCGACAUUGAUCGCACGGUUUUCCUUGGUCCCUUAGGUCGGUGGAGCACGAUCCGCGAAGUUGAAGCUGAUUGGUUACUGUAGCUGGGCGGGCGCCUUGCCCCCGGGCCCGAUCGGCCUCCCGUUCGUUCCCGUGGCUUCUGGAGUCUUCUAAAUGGUAGAAACUUGUGUGGUACGUUAAUAUCUCUAUGUAAACCCAACGUGUGGGCCUUUCUUUCGUAUUUCCUGAUAACCCCCUGCAGAAAUAGACAAACACCAAAACUUGUGGAAUUCUGUCAGAUAAAACCCUAAGUCUAGGUGUUGGUUGCAUUUGGAUCUUUUUUUAUGAUUAGUUGAUGGUUAAAUAUGAGCAUUAAGGACCGUCAACAAGCUCCCCCAAGCUUAACCUUUGCUCGUCCCUGAGCAAAGAUGAACUCAAGAGUUUCUGCAGUGGUUUCAUAACUUAAAGAUACACAUGCGUUUAAACAAGAUCUUAUCUCUGGUUAGAGUAAACUGUUAAGACUUAAAACUUACUCAUUUACCUUUCACCAUGGGACUUGUAACCGUCACUUCUGUCUUGAGUAGUUAAAAGAUAGAACAGUCUAGUCAAGCGCCAUGUCUCUUGUUCUUCGAUUAACUAUAGCUCUGAAGUUUUUUCAGAUUUUCAAAUUAAACUCAGAGAUUCCUUGUAUGACUCUCUCUAGUCUCUCUUAUGUGGUAUUUCUGGAUCCUUACCAAGGCAGUAAUGGUAUAUGCCUUCUCUCAAAGUAUGUGGUAUUUGUGGUAUAAGGCAUAGUGGCAUUGCCUUCUCUCUCAACCUACUCUAAUAAGGUUUUGAUAUCUGGAGCUCAUAGGUGGGAGACAGCUAAUACAUACUUACAAGACAUUUAUUGCAUAGUCAAACCAUGGAUCCAGAAGAACAAGUCAAUAAGUCAAAUCAAGAUGUGCAUGUGUGGCGAAUAAAUGAUGUAUGGUGAUGAUGGUGAUAACGAUGGUGAAAGUCUAAUUCUACUUAUGCUCUUUUGAGGGGAUACAUACCUUUCUUGCUCUUUUGAAACUUUUUGAGGAGAAUGAGAUGCUCUAUAUUUUCUUUUUCUUUCCUCUCAGGUGGGUAUCUUGUACCCCUAAUUCUACUGUCGGACACUUGUCCAUUUUUACCUCUCGUCUCACUUUUUUCUUUUCUUUUUUUUCUUUUCUUUCGAGGUUCCGGGCACUUGCCCCUUUUUAUUUCCUCGUAUUUAUUUUAUAUAUAUUUUUUCUCUCUUUUUUUUAUAUUAGAGCACUCAUCUCCUGAAAUAAUAUAGCAAGUGGUAGUAACCAAGAUAACUUGAGCAUUUAUUUCACAGGGGAAAAACAGAAAUGUUUUUGGCUAUUCUCUCCCGGAUUAGGAGUAGAAUAUUUUUGGGUGGUUCUGGAGAUGGAAAUGGGUGGAUAUAUGUGGAUGCGUACUUCCGGAGUAGAAGCAGCAUGUGUGAGUGAACGUGCAAGUGAAUCUUGACUUAACCACAUGACAAGCUCCUAAGGGUCUACACAGCUUGACCACACUCAAUGCUCAUAAGCAGUAAAAAGUAAAUGCGUGGCUCAAAAUCUAGCAAGCAUGUAUAUAUGGCUGUGGUAGGAUUUUAAACUCUCAUCAUACAGGAACUCAUCAUGCAACAUUUUAAAGAUUUUCAAAGAUAAAAUUCUCCAGAUUUGUAGCAUCUCUAGGAACAGAUAAACAGCAGCUCAACCUUCCCAUAUCAUAUCCGUUAACGACUUAGACUUCAGAUCAAGUACUAUUCCCACAAGUUCAGGUUUAGAGCAAAUCUUAAUUAAUAACAGUCAUGCCUAAACUUGAGAGAGAUUUCAAUUUUGAGAACUAGUCAUGGCAGAGCAACUAUUCAUCAUUUCCAUGUGAGAGCUUAUCAUGAGGGUUCAUAGCAAACUUUAUUUAUUUAUUUAUCAAACUAAUCAAAGAUAUAUAUAUAUAAGCAUAUUAGAGUAAAGUAUAAACGUGAGUAGAAUACUUAGCUGGAUAAAUGGGGUUGCUCUCCCCCAAGCUGGAUUUUGACGUAAUUCCAUUUGAUGUAGCAGGUGGCGGAGGUGUACUUGAAUGUCGACAGCACCCUGACAGUGAUUAGGAUGUCCUCCGUCUGCUAGUCUUCUUUGAUCCUUGAAUUCUGUGGAGCUCAAAUAGACAACAAAGCUUUGUGGAACUGGUUAAGUGUUAGCAUAAAUAUCUAGCCUUUAUCAUGUUGAGCCUCCUCAAUAAAUGUUACUCUCUUUAGUAGGAUCAUAAAUUUAUUUUUAUAAUUUUAUUUUUAUAGGACAGGAAUAUAUUUAUUUUGUUUUUACACCACCAUAGUGAAUGUACUUAUGGGUUUUAUGCCAUGAGCAUACUCACAUGGGGCUUACUAUUUUUAACAAUUUUUUUUCUUUUUGAGAUGAUAUGAAACUGAUUAACUAAGCAAACUAUUUUAAAUAAUUGAGGAAAAAGAUAACUACCAAGUUUACCUCUUGGCAAGGCGUUCGGUGUUUUUAAGUCUUCCGAACGGGACUCUCCAUUCUCUCAGUCGUCCUGGAAUUCGCUGGAUUGCAUAGUCGGUGGUUCCGGCGGCGCCUGCUCUUCGUGUAUAGUUAUCUUCUCUCUACACACCUGACUCGGUGCUACGGUCUCCUCAGGACAGUUCUGUUCAAGCUUUAUAUCUUCAAACCUUACAACUUCUCCAUCAUAGUCUACCCAUCCGUCCUUGAUAAUUUUGCCUUCUCUGGUUGCGGUUGCGUCGUCUUCUUCUUGUCCUGACCUGCUUAGAGUCUUCAACUAUAUCGUUAGGGUCAGUAAAAUAGCGGCGUACCUUCUCAGAGGGGAAGUGCAUGUGGACUUCUCCGGUUCCAAUGUAGAUGAUUGCUUUAACGGUGUUGAGGAACGGUCUUCCAAGGAUGACGCAUUGUACUCGUCUUCUCCCAUGACAAUAACCUUCAAAUCAUCUGGAGCUGAAUGUAUUUUGGUUGUAGGGGCAUGGUUCUAAACAGGAGCUGAUAGGUGACUGCGGCCAUUGACAUCAGAUCCGGUGUCGUAGAGUGUCUUCUGAAAAGAAUAUCCGUUGAUUGUGCACUCGAUGCUUGGAACACCAGGGUCGUCCUUCUUCAACAAGAAAGGCGACUUUAGUUGACGAUCUUGACCUCCUUGAGCUGCAGUGACCAUCAUAGCUGACUCGGUACACAUUUGCUUGUUCUUGUUCCUCCUGUUGGCCCUCUUCCUUGGUUCAUGUCGGGAUUGCUCUGAGAUUUGUGUAGUCUUGUUCUUGAAGAAAAACGUCUCCUUCCUCCCCUUGAUGUAGAAACUGAUCUCGGCAGCACUAACGUAGAUGACACCUCCCGAGGUGUUUAGGAAUGGCCUCCCUAGAAUGAUGGGUAUAAUGUUGACGCUGGAGCCAAAGUCGCAGAGUGCUUCUAGGAAGUCCACCAUGCCGAUGGCGAUCGGGAUGACGGGACGUCCUGAAUUGUAUCUCUUGACCGGCAGAAGGUCAGUAAUUACUUCCACAACGGGGUUACUCCAGUAGUUAUGUCCUCAAGCAUCUCAGGGCAGUGAUUGCCUGAGUGUCUAGUCUCUCCAGUGUGUUUGUGCUCGUAGAUCUAGGUUCUUCACUUGGUGGAGUCUGGGAGUUGUAAAAGUCCUUCAUAUGCUGCUCGAAGUGUACCUGCUCAUAGAGACAGGGCAGAGAUCAAGUGCAUGGGCCCUGUUGGUGGAAAACACCAACAGAACCAAAAGUGUAUUUGUUCUUCUCUAACCUUAAGCAUAGUGAGCAAGACAAAGUUGAUGGAUAAUAAGAUCAUGAGUAUAACAUUUAAAACAUUUGUCAGAUCAAAUCGCUCAACCUAAUGGAAAGAUAAUCUAUCUAUA
RNAcentral lists this long non-coding RNA (10431 nucleotides) under Sorghum bicolor (sorghum). Its description in RNAcentral is "long non-coding RNA (SBIC_LNC014418)". The record is from RNAcentral. Lineage: Eukaryota; Viridiplantae; Streptophyta; Magnoliopsida; Poales; Poaceae.